CCUACGGGUGGCAGCAGUGAGGAAUAUUGGUCAAUGGACGAGAGUCUGAACCAGCCAAGUAGCGUUAAGGAUGACUGCCCUACGGGUUGUAAACUUCUUUUAUAUGGGAAUAAAUUGUUCCACGUGUGGGAUUUUGUAUGUACCAUAUGAAUAAGGAUUGGCUUACUUCGGGCCAGCAGCCGCGGUAAUAAGGAGGAACCGAGCGUUAAUCGGAUUUAUUGGGGUUAAAGGGAGGGUUGGUGGGUUUUUAAAGCCAUUGGGAAAGAUUGCGGCUCAAACGUAAGAUUGCAGUUGAAACUGGCAGUCGUGAGUACAGUAGAGGUGGGCGGAAUGCGUGGUGUAGCGGUGAAAUGCUUAGAUAUCACGAAGAACUCCGAUUGCGAAGGCAGCUCACUGGAGUGCAACUGACACUGAGGCUCGAAAGUGUGGGUAUCGAACAGGAUUAGAUACCCCAGUAGUC
Molecule: ribosomal RNA, 460 nt
Filed under: uncultured bacterium
Lineage: Bacteria
Description: partial 16S ribosomal RNA
Rfam family: Bacterial small subunit ribosomal RNA
Source: RNAcentral